RNAcentral lists this small nuclear RNA (179 nucleotides) under Leptobrachium leishanense (Leishan spiny toad). RNAcentral's name for it is "U2 spliceosomal RNA (ENSLLEG00000004759.1)". It matches the Rfam family "U2 spliceosomal RNA". Rfam says of the family: U2 is a small nuclear RNA (snRNA) component of the spliceosome (involved in pre-mRNA splicing). Complementary binding between U2 snRNA (in an area lying towards the 5' end but 3' to hairpin I) and the branchpoint sequence (BPS) of the intron results the bulging out of an unpaired adenosine, on the BPS, which initiates a nucleophilic attack at the intronic 5' splice site, thus starting the first of two transesterification reactions that mediate splicing. The record is from Rfam by way of RNAcentral. Lineage: Eukaryota; Metazoa; Chordata; Amphibia; Anura; Megophryidae.
GUAUCUCGUUCCCUUUGGUUAUUGUAAAGCACUGUGGACACUGUUGGCACUGUAUAAAUGAUGACAAUAAUAAUAUAUUAAAUGGAUUUUUUAGAACAGGGAGCUGGAAGAAGAGCUUGCUUUGUUCACUCCACGCUUUGUCCUGGUAUUGCAGUACCUCCAGAAGCAGUGCAUCGAAA